CCUACGGGCGGCAGCAGUGGGGGAUAUUGCACAAUGGGGGGAACCCUGAUGCAGCGACGCCGCGUGGGUGAAGGAGUGCUUCGGCAUGUAAAGCCCUAUCGGCAGGGAAGAAGCAAGACGGUACCUGACUAAGAAGCCCCGGCUAACUACGUGCCAGCAGCCGCGGUAAUACGUAGGGGGCGAGCGUUAUCCGGAUUCACUGGGUGUAAAGGGAGCGUAGACGGCCAAGCAAGCCAGGGGUGAAAGCCCGGGGCCCAACCCCGGGACUGCCCUUGGAACUGCAUGGCUGGAGUGCGGGAGGGGCAGGCGGAAUUCCUGGUGUAGCGGUGAAAUGCGUAGAUAUCAGGAGGAACACCGGCGGCGAAGGCGGCCUGCUGGACCGCGACUGACGUUGAGGCUCGAAAGCGUGGGGAGCAAACAGGAUUAGAUACCCGAGUAGUC
RNAcentral lists this ribosomal RNA (441 nucleotides) under uncultured bacterium. Its description in RNAcentral is "partial 16S ribosomal RNA". It matches the Rfam family "Bacterial small subunit ribosomal RNA", at positions 338 to 795 of the family's 1533-position model. The record is from RNAcentral.